This is a long non-coding RNA of Astatotilapia calliptera (eastern happy), 1024 nucleotides long. The record is from Ensembl. Lineage: Eukaryota; Metazoa; Chordata; Actinopteri; Cichliformes; Cichlidae.
GAAAACUUUGCAAAGAUUUGAACAAACUAUGAGACUUCUGGAAUAAUGUUUCGUCUAGCAAUACUAAAGUGGAGAUGUUUGGCCAUGAUGCACAGCACCAUAUUUUUCAAAAGCAGAUACAAAACAGAAAUACUUCAUACCAACUGUUAAUCACAGUGGUAGAUUGGGUGAUGAUUUGAGUCAGCCAUGAACUCUGUAUACCAACGUAUUUUAGAUUUAAAUGUGAGGCCAUCUGUCAGACAGCUAAAGCUUAGGCUGAAACUGGGUCAUGCAACAGGACAAUUAUCCCAGGUGCAGCAGCAAAUUUACAACAGAAUGGCUGACAAGUCAAAGUCCAAACCUCAACCUCAUUAAAAUGCUGUGAUGGGACUUUAAGAAAGCUGUGCAUAAAUGAAUGCUUGCAGACUUCAAUGAAUUGAAGCAACGCUGUAAAGAAGAGUGGCCUAUCCAACUAAACAAGUAUUGCACGAUAUCUGAGAGUUCUUUGACAGUCAAAAUGCCAUGCAAGUAGCAGGUUUUUAAUCCAUGUAGCAUUUGUCAAUUAACACACGGCUAAUACUUUGAUAAUAUACAUCCCAGCAGUGCCACAACAUUAUGUUAUUAUUAUUUUUUUUUUUUUGCUCAUAUUAUAUUAUGAGCAUGUUAAUGCUGUUUUUUUUUUUAGUAAAUUGUCAAUUUAUUAAUUAGGGAUGUUGGUUUUACUGAUACACAUUUUGUGUAGUUUCCACUUAAACUACACAAAAUGUUCUCCCAUAUAUACAACGUGUAAGCUACAGAAUAGAGCGUUAUUAUUCACUCAGAGCUCAAAAAUCUACAUACCAAAAAUGAGUAAAGUCGCACCAUUUCACACACAAAUAAUGCAGAGCCGAGUAAAACACUUUUUACAGUGUCAGCAAAAUGUUACUGAUCACUGGUGCUGCUAGGACUAACCUAUGAAUCAUGGUUGAGUCAUAGGUUUAUUUUUUUCUAUUCGUUUUUGUUCAUGUAAUGUUCUGAAAAACCUAAGCUUACCAAUACAAAACCA